UCAAAAUAAGUUGGAUUAUAU
This 21-nucleotide microRNA is filed under the name Zea mays. RNAcentral's name for it is "miRt1b". Lineage: Eukaryota; Viridiplantae; Streptophyta; Magnoliopsida; Poales; Poaceae. The record is from RNAcentral.